RNAcentral lists this unclassified non-coding RNA (352 nucleotides) under Hevea brasiliensis (rubber tree). The record is from RNAcentral. Lineage: Eukaryota; Viridiplantae; Streptophyta; Magnoliopsida; Malpighiales; Euphorbiaceae.
GCAACAGCCACGUCUUUGGGACCAGAGAUGGCAAUAAGAAUCUCAUCCAUGAAGCGGCAACAAUGCACCCUAAUUUCAGAGUAGCCCAAAUCAUGGCAUUCUUGAGAACCAUUACCAGAUAUCUGUCUCCUGAACCAACUGCGUAGCACGGAGUUGGGUGCACUUUCUUCAGCACUUGAUCCUUUAUCAAUAGCUUCAUAUCUCAUUGACAACCUGUACAUUUCGUGAUCAAAGAGAUCAAGAUAUAUGUUCAUUAAAAUUGGAGACAAUGCUCCUUCUUGUGGGAGACCAUGUCCUUUUCGAAAGCCGCCAAAUUCUAAAUUCAGUACUCCACAGUCAAACAUACUACGUA